UCCACAGGUAGAGGCUAAGAAGCUCGCCCCGAAAAAACACGGGCGCCCUAGGGGACGAGCGGAGCCAUUGGCGCGACCGGCUAUCCGCGAG
This 91-nucleotide non-coding RNA is filed under the name unclassified sequences. The record is from Rfam.